GGAGAGAUGCCAGAGCGGUCGAACGGGGCGGUCUCGAAAACCGUUGUAUCUUUACGGGUACCGGGGGUUCGAAUCCCUCUCUCUCCG
Molecule: transfer RNA, 87 nt
Filed under: Williamwhitmania taraxaci
Lineage: Bacteria; Pseudomonadati; Bacteroidota; Bacteroidia; Bacteroidales; Williamwhitmaniaceae
Rfam family: tRNA
About the family: Transfer RNA (tRNA) molecules are approximately 80 nucleotides in length. Their secondary structure includes four short double-helical elements and three loops (D, anti-codon, and T loops). Further hydrogen bonds mediate the characteristic L-shaped molecular structure. tRNAs have two regions of fundamental functional importance: the anti-codon, which is responsible for specific mRNA codon recognition, and the 3' end, to which the tRNAs corresponding amino acid is attached (by aminoacyl-tRNA synthetases). tRNAs cope with the degeneracy of the genetic code in two manners: having more than one tRNA (with a specific anti-codon) for a particular amino acid; and 'wobble' base-pairing, i.e. permitting non-standard base-pairing at the 3rd anti-codon position.
Source: Rfam by way of RNAcentral